This 838-nucleotide long non-coding RNA is filed under the name Homo sapiens (human). Its description in RNAcentral is "non-protein coding lnc-SGCD-4:1". The record is from RNAcentral. Lineage: Eukaryota; Metazoa; Chordata; Mammalia; Primates; Hominidae.
GAAAAAACUAAGAAAAAAGAAACUCUAAAAUUAGGACUCAACUGUCGAGGAGGGAGGCAGUUAGCGGGCUUUAGCUCCUUUUCUGGAGGGGGUAGAUAUGAAGCGGUUUAAAGGAUUGGACCAAAAGAAGAGGAAACUCUACCAGUGCAAGAGCCAAGGGAUCAGUUGUCCUUGUUUUUUUUUUUUUGGUCUUGCCUUCAUUUGAAGAUUAAGUAUUGGAGCCAUGGGAAUAAAGAUUCAAUGUCCUCGAUUUUUUUUUUUUUGACAUUGCCAUUAACAACCUGCUGGAAGAGUUGUCUUUGAAUUAUUUUCUGAUGUGUGCCCCAAAACACGUGAGAAGUUUAGUUGUCUUUGUACAGGUGAAAGGGGGACAGGGAAAUCAACUCAGAGCCAUUACAUUGUAAGAGUUGUCUCUUUCAGAGUUGUCAAGGAUUUUAUGGUUUAAGGUGCUGACUUCAGUGAAGGAAAUGGACGAGGAGGGGAAUCUAUCUAAGAAGAAUUUUUUGAAGAUGAGAAUUUUGCUGUUAAAAACAACAAAGAAUUUCUCUUGUCAAUGGCCAACAGAAGGAAGGAUACAAAUGGUUUACAGUUCUUCAUAACAAUGAAACCAACUCUUCAUUUAGAUGGGCAUCAUGUUGUUUUUGGGCAAGUAAUCUCUAGCCAAGAAGUUGUGAGAGAGAUAGAAAACCACAAGAUGGAUGCCGCUAGCAAAGCAUUUACAGAGGUACAGAUACUCAGUUGUGGAGAGCUGAUUCCCAAAUCUAAAGUUAAGAAAGAAGAAAAGAAAAUGUAUAAAUCAUCAUCAUCUUCCUCCUCAUGAUCUAGUGACUAAGAUAGC